GGUUCUGUAGCUCAGUUGUGGUAAGAGCGGUCGGCUGAAACCCGACAGGUCAGGAGUUCAACUCUCCUCGGGACCAC
This 77-nucleotide transfer RNA is filed under the name Microbacterium phage Big4. RNAcentral describes it as "tRNA-Phe". It matches the Rfam family "tRNA". From Rfam's summary of the family: Transfer RNA (tRNA) molecules are approximately 80 nucleotides in length. Their secondary structure includes four short double-helical elements and three loops (D, anti-codon, and T loops). Lineage: Duplodnaviria; Heunggongvirae; Uroviricota; Caudoviricetes. The record is from RNAcentral.